Molecule: small RNA, 478 nt
Filed under: Drosophila virilis
Lineage: Eukaryota; Metazoa; Arthropoda; Insecta; Diptera; Drosophilidae
Description: GJ26381
Source: RNAcentral
AGCAGCAGCAGCCGCAACAGCGGCAACGACAAUUUCUUUGUAAAAAGCUAAUACAUGUACUAUUAAGGCUUAGUUUUCAUAGUUAACCUAUCCAUUGAUUUUCCCUGGCAUUUUGAUGUCACAAAACUGAAUGGAAGUCCCUAUAUUUUAUACAAAACGGUUUCCAUUUUAAAGCUGCAGAGUUUUGUUUUUACUUUUAGCCCUCAACGCAAGUACGUUGAGCAUAUGCAUACAUACCAUAGAAAUCGGACAACAACAACUACAUGAAAACAUCAACAACAACAACUUUUGAGGCGGCCCGAAGAAAGCAUUUCGCUAACAUUUGUCUUAGUGUUUUCUCCCAAUAAUAUUGUUGUACAUCUUUUUUACUUCCCACAGCUGGAGUAUGGAGAAGUGCCUAGAGCAGAGAGAGAGCGAGAGAGAGAAAGAGAAUGUGUGUGUGUGUAUGAAAGGGAGAGACAUCUGAUGGCACACAACA